This is a long non-coding RNA of Chelonoidis abingdonii (Abingdon island giant tortoise), 284 nucleotides long. RefSeq lists it as uncharacterized. The record is from RefSeq and is a predicted model, not a curated record. Lineage: Eukaryota; Metazoa; Chordata; Testudines; Testudinidae.
GCAGGCUGAGGAGCGCCACGGGAAUUUCGAGGAGCGUCUGCGCCAGCUGGAGGCGCAGCUGGAGGAGAAGAACCAGGAGCUGCAGCGGGCACGGCAGCGGGAGAAGAUGAACGACGAACACAACAAGCGGCUCUCGGAGACGGUCGACAAGCUGCUGUCGGAGUCCAACGAGCGGCUGCAGCUGCACCUCAAGGAGCGAAUGGGGGCUCUGGAGGAGAAGAACACGCUGAGCGAGGAAAUCGCCGACAUGAAGAAGCUGCAGGACGAGCUGCUCUUGAACAAGG